UAUGUUACAGUACAUUAAGGGGAUUUUUCUCUUGUUACAGGAGUUGUUUUUAUUUCAGGUUUUAGUGUUGGUGUUGGUAUUGGUGUUGGAUUUGGAUCAUACCAGAGUUAGAGUUUACUCUCUUCAUCUUAUAGUUUCACAGCACCAUAAGCAUGACACACACUUAUUAACAAGUGAUUUUAAUAAAACUGAUUUUAAAAGAGAAAAUAAAGAAGAGAGAAGCGUAGGCAAUUUGAGCAUCAGUUUUAAAAAGCUCAAUUUGAAUAGCUUCAUGGAUGAACCAAUAAGCAAUUAUUUAUAUUGUAAUCCGUUAAGCUUGCUUUCAAAUCUGUAACAGAAUUUUUAGGAUCAGUUGAGAUACUUAGAGUUACAUAUAAAGUUGUUGAGAACAUAACAGAAGUUCAUUCAUUACCAUAAUGGAUACUUUUCUUACCCUUGUCAAAUAAUUUGUGUUUAAAAGAGGGUGUGGUGAACCUUGCUUAUCUAAGAAUUUCUCUUACGUGUUUGAAACUUUCAGAAUUUUGGUGUUCUCAUGAUCCCAACAGUACCACAAUAGCUUGCUGUCCAUUGCUGGAAUCUCUGGAUUUUGCCAGGUUGUUCCUCUCUCCACUAUUAUAUGUUUUGAUGACUUUAUUGAGAUUAUUGCUGAAGAGCCAGAACAAUUCAACAAUAGAAGCAAAGAAGGAACUUGUAAAAGCAUGCUCAAAGAAGUUCAUAAAAAUCAUGACUAUAUUGUAAUUGAUGAUGGUGAUGAUGAUGGUGAUGAUGAAAGGCACUCUAAACCACUCUUAAUGAAAAAGAGAACCAACACAGAAGAAUUGAUUUGGACCUUCGUUCAGUUAGAGAAAGAAUUAACAGAUAGCAACUAGUAGUUAUUCACAUCCCUAUUAUAGACCAAGUGGCAGAUUUAUUAAUCAAGCCCCUCUCCUCUCUUAAUUUUAAUAGUGGUCCUCGUGAAGAUGCAACUCGU
Molecule: non-coding RNA, 970 nt
Organism: Arachis ipaensis
Lineage: Eukaryota; Viridiplantae; Streptophyta; Magnoliopsida; Fabales; Fabaceae
Source: RefSeq, a predicted model, not a curated record